This is a long non-coding RNA of Mugil cephalus (flathead mullet), 1204 nucleotides long. RefSeq lists it as uncharacterized. NCBI's taxonomy places the organism in Eukaryota, Metazoa, Chordata, Actinopteri, Mugiliformes, Mugilidae. The record is from RefSeq and is a predicted model, not a curated record. The transcript has 4 exons.
GACCUGCUGGUGGCGCUAGAUAAAAAGUCCAAAUCAACAGUCAGUUAAUGAAGUUGAUCCUCUGGGACCAAGAAUGUGUAGAAAUGUUGAUGUGAGUCCAUCAUCCAUCCUUUAGUCCAGAUCCAGUCCAUGACUAAGACUAAAGUAGUGGACUGACCAACCACUGACAUUAACAUCAGAGCCAUGCUGCUAGUGAGGCUAAAAGAAAGGAGAAGAAGAGACAGUCAUGUAGAUCUGAACAUCAGAGAAACACAUCAAGGAGCUGAAAUAUGAUCCUUCCUCCUCAUGUGACUCCUUCCCCUCAGCUGAGUAUCUCAGCAGCACACGGGUUUUUGUAUUAGUCUUUUUCACUGUGCGGCAGCAGCUGGGGCUACUUCAUCUUUGGCUCUGGAACUAAACUGUAUGUAACAGGUUGUGGAGAAACAAAUGCUGCUAUCCAGAUGACGUCUUAUUGUGGAAGGCCUUUCUUAUUUCACCAAGACAAUGUCAACAUGCAUUCUGCACGUUUUCCAACAGCAAGGCUCCGUAGUAAAAGACUGAGAACUGACCUGAAAACGGUGCAUUAUGAUCAAAAAUCAACAAGAAAAACUAAGGAGGCCCUGAAAAACCAAACCUUCUAUCAAGUCAUCAUGGAAAAUAUUUCUCUUUCUAAACUACAACAGCAAUGAGCAGGUAGUGAAGCCCGUGGUGAUGCGUGUACCCAGCAGCAUCCAGAGCCCACCUGGAGGGGAAGAGCUCUCUGCUGUGUCUGGCCUCACACAUGUUUCCUCCUGAGGUCAAGUUCUCCUGGAAAAGACAGAAGGAGGGCGGGCUCUCUGGAGGAGCUGACCCCUGGUGAGGGAGAGCAGCUGGAGCUCAGAGAGUCGGGACGCAGAGCCUCCAUCAGGCUGGUGGAUAGAGAUGAUCUCUACACAUAUGAUACAUCUGCUCCGUCGAGCACGAGGGAGGCACAGUCGAUUCCAAUCAAGAGGUUCCUCAUGUCUCUCAGUACAAAGUGAAGCUGCUCUGUCUGCAGUACACAGUGCUGAUAGUGAAGAGUCUGGUGUACUGCUGUGGACUCUCUCUGCUGAUGAUCCUCAGAAACAAGUGACCGUCCACCAGCUCCACACAUGCUGACUGACUGUUUUCUGCUCCUCUUUUCUCUCCAUACAUCUCAUCACUUCAUCUCAUUCAUCACUUUGAUCAUCUUCAGAAAUGUUGUUGA